Molecule: ribosomal RNA, 879 nt
Filed under: uncultured fungus
Lineage: Eukaryota; Fungi
Description: bacterial SSU rRNA
Rfam family: Eukaryotic small subunit ribosomal RNA
Source: RNAcentral
UCGAUGAGUUAGCGGCGCGAGUCGCCAUUGUGCCAGCAGCCGCGGUAAUCCAGUCGAGCGAAUAGCGUAUAUUAAAGUUGUUGCAGUUAAGGAAGCCUGAGAGAGUGAACCUUGGGCCUGGCGUGGCCGGUCCGCCUCACCGCGUGUACUGGUCCGGCCGGGCCUUUCCUUCUGGGGAACCUCAUGCCCUUCACUGGGCGUGUUGGGGAACCAGGACUUUUACUUUGAAAAAAUUAGAGUGUUCAAAGCAGGCCUUUGCUCGAAUACAUUAGCAUGGAAUAAUAGAAUAGGACGUGUGGUUCUAUUUUGUUGGUUUCUAGGACCGCCGUAAUGAUUAAUAGGGAUAGUCGGGGGCAUCAGUAUUCAAUCGUCAGAGGUGAAAUUCUUGGAUUGAUUGAAGACUAACUACUGCGAAAGAAUUUGCCCAGGGAUGUGUUUCAUUAUCAGUGAACGAAAGUUAGGGGAUCGAAGACGAUCAGAUACCGUCGUAGUCUUAACCCAUAAACUAUGGCGACUAGGGAUCGGACGGUGUUGGAUUUUGACCCGUUCGGCACCUUACGAGAAAUCAAAGUUUUUGGGUUCUGGGGGGAGGAUGGGCGCAAGGCUGAAACUUAAAGAAAUUGACGGAAGGGCACCACCAAGGCGUGAAGCUGCGGCUUAAUUUGACUCAACCUCGGGGCACUUACCAGGUCCCGAACCCAUAAGGAUUGACAGAUUGAGAGCCCUUUCUUGAUUUUGUGUGUGGGGGGCAUGGCCGUUCUUUAGCUGCGGGGUGAUUUGCUGCUUAAUGCGAUAACGAACGAGACUUAACCUGUUAAUUGCCAGCGCCCGUUUGGGGGUCGCUGGUUCUUUAAGGACAAUCGGCCAAGCGAAGGAAGU